Molecule: long non-coding RNA, 906 nt
Filed under: Piliocolobus tephrosceles (Ugandan red Colobus)
Lineage: Eukaryota; Metazoa; Chordata; Mammalia; Primates; Cercopithecidae
Description: lncRNA (ENSPTEG00000025282.1)
Source: RNAcentral
AUGGAUAAGAAUUUUAACGUGUUUGAUAAAAACGAUAAUAUACCAUGGGAACAUCAGGUAAGUGCAAAUAAAAAUGUUCAUAAAAUAAGUGAAAUAAAUACAAAUAAUAAGAGUGUGAAGAAUAUUAGUAUAAGUAAAAAAAACUCAGUAGUUUCCGAAGAAACUUCCAUUCAACCACCCAAAAUAUGGUCAAGAUUAAGUUCGAAAUCAAAAUAUGUGGUCAAUCAGACUGCACAAUGGAAUUGGUAUUAUGCAUUGGAGGAGCAGUAUUUCAACUGGCAGUAUUACAAAUUCCCUGUACCGCCUAACCACACAUUUGUUGGGUUCCCUAUACACUUUUCUACAAUUGAUGUUGCUGAAGUAAAAUCGUUUUUAAUAAGCUCAAAACGAUUCGAAAAUAUAAUGAAGCUUUCAAUAGAUAAAAUUUCUUAUUUUAUAUACUGUAAAGUUUAUCCCUUGAUUGGUGGAGUGAUGUCAAAUUGGGUAUUUUUAGGAUGUAUAGUACCUUGGAUGACUGCUCAAGAAAGGGAAUCUAAUAUGCAAAAAACCUCAAAAAAAAUUUUCAUUAGAAAUGACGGCACACUGCUUAACUAACAUUUGAAUGAUGUUGUUUUGUAUCUCAUUUACAAAUUCAUGAGUAAGGUUUUGACUAUGAGAACGAUAAAUAAUUCGAUAACAAACACUUGUUUGUUUUGUUUUUUCAUUAUAGUAAUGAUCUAUUUUUUUAACAAGUUCAAUGUUUUCACAAGCUAUAUCUCUACAUAUUUGAAAAAAAGUUGUUUCAUCAAAUUUAUUAUUAAGAUAAAAAGAUAUAUCUUUUAUUACUGGUGGAUAAUUACUAAACAAAGAAAAUUCAUUAAUUUCAUUUUCUUUGAAUUGGUUAAUAAAUCUUUCAUCUUGACUCCA